This is an RNA transcript of Diorhabda carinulata, 5773 nucleotides long. It is a transcript of the gene named dnaJ homolog subfamily C member 1, with no coding region annotated. NCBI's taxonomy places the organism in Eukaryota, Metazoa, Arthropoda, Insecta, Coleoptera, Chrysomelidae. The transcript has 6 exons. The record is from RefSeq and is a predicted model, not a curated record.
GUCAAUCUGAUUCUAACCUAGAAGUUAUAAGAUUUUUAAAUGGAAGAUUUUUCUUGGGCUAAGCUAUAUCCAGAAGUAUAUAAAGUAUGUACAUUAUUUCAAAUGACGGAAAUAGCAAAUCCAAUUGAAUUUCAUUAUAAAAAACUUGACCAAUUUCUACAAGAUGGGCCUCAGUGUGGUUUAGUUGCACUUGCCAUGUGUGUGGGAAAUCCUACAAAGGACAGUAUUCAAAAUUUAUUUGAAACUGCAAAAAAAUAUAAUUUUUCAAACAACGGAGAAAUGUUUAGUGUUGAUAAUAUGGCAACUUUAGCAAAAGAAGUGUUACCAAUUGGAACUGAAAUUAAAGUAUACAAUGGUUAUUUAGACAAUGAUUUUAUCAAGAAAAGUUUGCUUGGUGGUAGUAUUAUGUUAGUACCGUAUCCUUUCUUAUUACAUUUCUAUUAGUUCUUGUUGUUGAAUACCUUAAUAAAUAAUUAGUUAUGACACAGAGAAAGAUAACUCUCCAGGUUUAUGCAAAGGUCACAAAGCUCAUUGGGCUGCCAUUUGUGGUGGAAUUCUAACUGAAAACGAUUUUUAUGUUCUUGCAAGACAUGGUAAAGCUAGGAAUGUAGCAAUCUGGAAAUUGAAAGUUUUAGCUAACAGCAAUAAACAACUGUUGGAAUUUUCUCCAGAUAGAAAAUUUCAGGAUAUUGUUUAUAAAUUACCAAUUGGUGGAAUUUCAGGUCCAUAUGGAUUGAAAGAAAAAAGUAUUUUAAUUCAAUAUAAGUGUUGAAUAUUAUAAUACUUAUAUUUAUAGGAAAAAAUAAAAUUAACUCACCUUUUAAAAAUGUUCACAUAAAAUCUACUUCUUUUUUAUUCUAUCAAAGUGAAUAAUGUGCUCAAAAUUAAAUUCAAAUUGUAUACAUAAAAUCCAGGGUAUUGAAAAAUCAGUUCUAAACAAUAAAGCAAUCAUAUUUGUAAAUAAUACCAUAUGUUCAAUAUUGCAUAUAUGUAUAAUAAUUUAGAAAUAAAACACACCAGAUAUACCUAUGAAUAUGACAAGAAAAGAUAGCAGUUCGAAAUAAAAGUUUCAUUAACAAAAUAUUAGUAUAGCUAUGGGUCGAUAUGGUCGAAACAUCAGUUUGAAUGAAAAUUAUCGCAUCACUGGUAUUUUAGGAUUUUUUAAUACUUAAUUUUAGUUUUUUUGGAACAAUCUGUAUAUGUAUCAACUUAAUAGAUAUUUCUGGUUUCUUAUCAUGGACAAAAAAAUAUCACAAUUUCUUACAAAUUUUUUGGAAUCAAAAAUGUUUGAGUAAAUCAUUUCUGUCUUGGAGAAUGCAUUGAGAUCGAGAGCUUUCUAAGGAAAUUGUGUUAUUGUUUAGUGAAAAUUAUUUUGUUACUAAUUGAUGUGCCUUUUUUUCGUCAAAUAAUCUAUAACCAUUUGGUGCAUAGCCAACAAAUAAGUAUUGUUCACUUCUUUCAUCAAGUAUCUUUGCAUAUGUUUUUGUUACAAAAAUUUGCAUUCUUUCAAUACCAGGUUUUUUAUUUGCCCACAUUUUGGUUGGUGUUUUAUUAAAUGGUAUAUAUUCUGUAGGAGUUCGGUUUAAUAUUUAACUAUGGCUGCUUCACCCUAAAAUUUCUCUUUAAUUUGACUGCCAAAUAAUAGUGAUCUAACUUUCUCAAUAAGUGUUCAAUUGAAGCUCCUACUUUAUCAUUUAACUGUGGUGUAUAUGGUAUAGUCAUGUCCAACUAAAUACCCUUUUUUCUGUAGUAGUCUAUCAAUUCAUUGUUAUAUUCAUCUCCAUUAUCACCAUUGUUGAAACUCAUAUUUUUGUAUCUUUCAUUUGCUUCUAGAUAUUCUUGUAUAAAGUCUGAAGCUUCAUUUUUAUAUUCUAAUAAAUACAUUUCUGUCCAGUUUGUGCAAUCAUCAAUAAGAGUAAGAAUAUAGUUUCAUUAUCCCAGAUUAGUGGAUCAAUUGGACCACAUUAAUGAGUAUGGAUAAUUUCCAAUGCUCUUGUAGCCUUUGUUCUUUCUGAAUUAAAUGGAAAUUUCUCUCUACUUUUCCAGUCAACCCUUAAUACCACCUCUAAAUCAAUCAUUUUAUUUAUAUUUUUUAUGUUAAUAUGCCCAAAUUUUCAAUGCCAGUCAUUUACUUUUUCUUGUUAAAUUUCCAACGAAAAACUUUCUUCUUUGUUUUCAUUUGAUUCAUUUAGUUACUGAUAAUAAGCCUGGCUCAUUCUUUUUUCCUUCAAAUAUUUUUUGAUUAUUUUUUAAAACCAUAACUUUGUCUCUUUCAAAGAUCACCUUUCCUUUAUUUUCGGUAAUUGCUUUUCUGGUCCUUUUUACAAAUUUUGCAAAACAUUUUUUCAUUUUUCAUAGUUUCAUUUCUGUUUCCUGAACAAUUUUUAUUACUUUUCUCAUAUUUACUCAUACUAGCACCUUUGUAUCUACAAAAAUGUGCUAUGUCUAUGUUUCUACAUAUAUAUGGACAAACUUUGCAUUGUUUUGAAAAGCUACACUCAGUGCCUUUUUCAAAUUGACAACUAAAAAAUUCUCAAAGCAAAUAUCAUUUUUGAUCAUUUGUGUUCCUUUUAAUGAGCGUUUUUAAUUUUGUGUACAUCUGGGCUGAACUUUCACAGUUCAUUAUAUAAAUUAUCACUUUUUUAACCACUGUAGAGAUAAUUAUUUUCUGCGUUUUCGCAUCUUUUUAUAUCCAGGUUUUCUUAUCUCUCUCCCAGCUAAAUCUUCCAUUUUUCUUCUCCCAUUACUAUAUUAUAAAUUUCACUAGCUUUAAAAGAGAUUCCUGUUUAAAAGUCCCAAAUUUCAAAAAAUUAAGAGCAUCAGUUUUUCAAUAUUACUUAUUUCUUCAGUUUCAGUAGCCAUUGUUUUGACUUUCGUUUAAAAAAGCACAAGUCACUUUUAUUUUUAUGUUGAUCUUUAUGGCACUUCUUCAGUUAGGGCUUUCCUGUGCCCAUAACCUGUUAGUUUUUUGUUUUAUUUUAUUCUUUUAUUAAUAAAGAGUAGUACACAGUGGAACUUUGUUACAUGAACCUAAAAACAUCUACGUUAUUCUAGAAUAAUAAUCUAAUAUCUAACACUAAUAAGCUAAUUACUAAGACUAAGAUCACUAAAUAUUAUUCUCUAACAAUCAUAAUCUAAUCAAUUUUAAUAGCAAUCAGAAUCAAUAAACUCAAAAUUUAUGUCAAGUGGUAAUUUGAAUAUUGAUUUUUGAAUCUUAUGAAUUCUAUAAUUUUCAAUUAAUAAAUGUAAGUGAUAUAUAAUGUUUUUAUACUUUAUACAUAUUUUCACACCAAAACAAAAAAAAUAAAGUUUACUUAAUAUGACAUCAAUCCGUUUUCUAUUUCAGAGUUGAAAUUUAGGACUGAAUAUGUAUUAAAAAUGUUUUCAUGGAUGGAUUAAUCCUUGAUGCAUAUAUAUGUAAGAGGUCUAUUUCUGUGUAUAUCAAUUUCCGAUAUUUUUCUGUAUUUGAAAAUGCUCAAUUGGUUUCAUCUUUAUUCGAUUAGAUUACUGAACGAUCAGGUCGCUUCGGAAAGUUAAGUAGUCAUUGAGAAUGAUUAGUUCAACUGUCUCAAGUGAGUAGACUUCUCAAAUGAAGAUACCUACAUCAGAAAAAGAAGAAGAAAACAUCAUUAAGUUUCCAAUGGAACUUUCCAUAAAUUGGUUUGACUUUUGCGUUGUUGGCAUGAUAAUACCUAUGGUUGAAAUAUGAACAUAAUUUAUUUAUCUUCUCUUCUGUUUUAUUCGAUUACUUCAACAAAUGCUUGGGACUCCGAGCAAUUAGAAGUAUUUGAUGCUGUAGACGAUGUCAAACAAAACUUUUAUGAACUUCUUAAUAUUUCUAAAGAUGCUACCAGUUCUGAAAUUAAAUCAGCAUUCAGAACGCUCUCUCUUAAGCUACAUCCAGACAAAAAUAAAGAAGUUGAUACCUCUGAACAAUUCCGUAAUUUAGUUACAGUCUAUGAAGUCUUAAAAAGCCCUGCCAAAAGAAAGUAUUAUGAUGAUACCCUCAUCAAUGGACUUCCUAACUGGAGGUCGGGUAUAUUCUACUACAGAUAUGUUCGUAAAAUGGGAAUAACUGAAGUUUUAGUAAUUCUUUUUGUUAUUAUUACUAUUGGACAAUACUUGGUUAACUGGGGAGUCUACUUUGAGAAAAUUCUGACUGUGGAAGAUCAAAAACUUCGAAAGAAAAAAUCACGAAACAGAGGGAAAGUUGAGGAAGAUCCAGAUAUUAUUAUACCAAAACCAUCAGUAUUAGAUACACUUCCUAUCCAAAUACCAAAAUUUGUCUGGUUCUUAAUAACAUGCAUCCCUGCUGCAUUUAGAUUUUUAACAUCUUCAGUCAAAAAUAAGAUAGAAGUUAACAGACCUCUGACACCAGAACUAGAACCUGAACCUGUAAGGAUUAAAACCACCAGAAAAAGGAAUAAAUUUAUACUUCCAGAAGGGCCUAACUUUGAACUUCAAGAUACAGAGCCAAAAAGUGACUGUGGUACUUCAGCUCCUCCUCCUCCUGUUUCAGGAGGCCUUUGGACUGAUGAUGAUUUAACAGAAUUAAUAAGAUUAGUAAAAAAAUUUCCUCAAGGAACAACUGAGAGAUGGGAAAAAAUUGCUGCCUUUCUCAAUAGAUCUGUACCGGAAGUCACAUAUAUGGCAAAUAAGAUGAAAGAAAAUGGCUAUAGAUUACCAUGUGAACAGGAUGAUGAAAUACAAGUUAAAGUAAAACAAAAAUCAAAGAAAGAGGUUGGUCCCUAUGAUAGUGUAACAAAUUGGGGACAGGCACAGCAAAAGGCAUUGGAAGAUGCUCUUUUGAAGUUUCCCAAGGGAGUUUGUGAUAGAUGGGAUAGGAUAGCUGAACACGUUCCUGACAAAAAUAAAGAAGAAUGUAUGCAGAGGUUUAGGUACCUAGCGGAGGAUCUGAAGAAACGAAAAGAUACCUCUGAUAAGACUGAAUAAACAAAUUUUAUGAAUGCAAAAGUUUUUCGUAGAAGAAAAAUGAUUGAAUUCAUUUACGUAGAUAAGGAAAAUAAAUUGGAGCUCCAUGAAUUGGAAAAUGAUGUCCGGCCAUUGCGUUGUACAAACAAAAACCUGUCUUUAAAUGCAUCUUAAGGAUGCAUUCAUAGAGCUCAAAGUAAAGAAUAAAAAGCUAUGGGCUGCAUAUAUUUGUAUCAAGGAAGCAUAAUGUAAAGGAAGAUGUAUUUGAUUGGAAAUUGAGGAAUAUAAAAAAACAUAUACAGGAAUUGAAGAUGUUUGAAAAAUAGGAAGGGGUAGAAUCCAUGGGAUUAGCAAUUUGAUGAUAUUUACAUCGACAAAACUGUAAGUCUACAACAGACGAUAACAUUAACCUCAGUGUUUGUAAUCCGGAAGAGUCCGAUAAAUUUAAAGCCACUAGGGAAACUAUUAGGAUAAACCUACUCUAAUCGCCCUAACCCAGUCUUUCAACUGCUCCUCAAAUUAAUAUAAAGGCCAUUUCACACACUCCAUCGUAUGUUAAUUUUUACUUGUAUUUUUACUUAUAUAAUUUUUUUGUGUUAAAAAAAUAAAACAGAUUUAUAAUGUAUUCUAUUUGUAGAGGUUGUAAGAAAUUGUAUUCAAAAAGUGAGAUGUUUUAUUUAAGAAAAACACUGGUCGACAUUGAGUAAGCACUAGUGAAAGAAACUAGACUUCUAAGAGAGGCUUUAGAAAGAAAUAAUUAAAUUCAGUAAUAAAAAUAAUUUUAAAAGAAUUAUGUAGAUUCUCUCUCCAAAAAAACAAUAAAUUUUAUUAAAAUAAAGUA